RNAcentral lists this ribosomal RNA (479 nucleotides) under Vibrio sp. RNAcentral's name for it is "bacterial SSU rRNA". It matches the Rfam family "Bacterial small subunit ribosomal RNA", at positions 105 to 580 of the family's 1533-position model. Lineage: Bacteria; Pseudomonadati; Pseudomonadota; Gammaproteobacteria; Vibrionales; Vibrionaceae. The record is from RNAcentral.
GGUGAGUAAUGCCUAGGAAAUUGCCCUGAUGUGGGGGAUAACCAUUGGAAACGAUGGCUAAUACCGCAUAAUGCCUACGGGCCAAAGAGGGGGACCUUCGGGCCUCUCGCGUCAGGAUAUGCCUAGGUGGGAUUAGCUAGUUGGUGAGGUAAUGGCUCACCAAGGCGACGAUCCCUAGCUGGUCUGAGAGGAUGAUCAGCCACACUGGAACUGAGACACGGUCCAGACUCCUACGGGAGGCAGCAGUGGGGAAUAUUGCACAAUGGGCGCAAGCCUGAUGCAGCCAUGCCGCGUGUGUGAAGAAGGCCUUCGGGUUGUAAAGCACUUUCAGUCGUGAGGAAGGUAGUGUAGUUAAUAGCUGCAUUAUUUGACGUUAGCGACAGAAGAAGCACCGGCUAACUCCGUGCCAGCAGCCGCGGUAAUACGGAGGGUGCGAGCGUUAAUCGGAAUUACUGGGCGUAAAGCGCAUGCAGGUGGUU